Molecule: non-coding RNA, 83 nt
Organism: Paramarasmius palmivorus
Lineage: Eukaryota; Fungi; Basidiomycota; Agaricomycetes; Agaricales; Marasmiaceae
Source: the annotation of a GenBank genome assembly
ACACCGUUGGUAGAAUGGUUAUCAUGCUUGCCCAUCAUCUGUAGCAAGUGGUUCAGGUUCGGGUUCGAUUCCCAAGCGGUGUA